Molecule: ribosomal RNA, 253 nt
Filed under: uncultured bacterium
Lineage: Bacteria
Description: partial 16S ribosomal RNA
Rfam family: Bacterial small subunit ribosomal RNA
Source: RNAcentral
UACAGAGGGGGCAAGCGUUAUUCGGAAUUAUUGGGCGUAAAGGGCGCGUAGGCGGCUUGGCAAGUGGAUGGUGAAAUCCCUCGGCUUAACCGAGGAACUGCCGUCCAAACUGCUUUGCUUGAGGCCGGGAGAGGUGAGUGGAAUUCCCAGUGUAGCGGUGAAAUGCGUAGAUAUUAGGAGGAACACCAGUGGCGAAGGCGGCUCACUGGACCGGUACUGACGCUGAUGCGCGAAAGCGUGGGGAGCAAACGGG